RNAcentral lists this ribosomal RNA (512 nucleotides) under uncultured bacterium. RNAcentral's name for it is "bacterial SSU rRNA". It matches the Rfam family "Bacterial small subunit ribosomal RNA", at positions 19 to 518 of the family's 1533-position model. The record is from RNAcentral.
UUGGUUCAGGAUGAACGCUAGCUACAGGCUUAACACAUGCAAGUCGAGGGGCAGCAUGGUCUUAGCUUGCUAAGACUGAUGGCGACCGGCGCGACGGGUGAGUAACGCGUAUCCAACCUGGCCCGCAGUAGGGAACAGCCCGGCGAAAGUCGGAUUAAUGCCCUAUGUCUUCCUUUGCAGGCAUCCAAUGAGGAAGAAAGAUUUAUCGCUGCGGGAUGGGGAUGCGUCUGAUUAGCUUGUCGGCGGGGUAACGGCCCACCGAGGCGACGAUCAGUAGGGGUUCUGAGAGGAAGGUCCCCCACACUGGUACUGAGACACGGACCAGACUCCUACGGGAGGCAGCAGUGAGGAAUAUUGGUCAAUGGGCGAGAGCCUGAACCAGCCAAGUAGCGUGCAAGGACGACUGCCCUAUGGGUUGUAAACUGCUUUUAUGCGGGGAUAAACUUCAGCACGUGUGCUGUUUUGCAGGUACCGCAUGAAUAAGGACCGGCUAAUUCCGUGCCAGCCGCCGC